CCUACGGGUGGCUGCAGUGGGGGAUAUUGCACAAUGGGGGAAAGCCUGAUGCAGCGACGCCGCGUGUGGGAAGACGGUCCUCUGGAUUGUAAACUACUGUUCUCAGGGACGAAGAUGACGGUACCGGGGGAGGAUGCGCCGGCUAACUACGUGCCGGCAGCCGCGGUAAUAGGUAGGGAGCGAGCGUUGUCCGGAAUUACUGGGUGUAAAGGGAGCGUAGGCGGGACUGGAAGUUGGGUGUAAAGUCUUCCGGCUCAACCGGUAGCCGCACUCGAAACUGGAGCUCUUGAGUGAAGUAGAGGCAGGCGGAAUUCCUGGUGUAGCGGUGAAAUGUGUAGAUAUUAGGAGGAACACCAGUGGCGAAGGCGGCCUGCUGGGCUUUUACUGACGCUGAGGCUCGAAAGUGUGGGGAGCAAACAGGAUUAGAUACCCGAGUAGUC
Molecule: ribosomal RNA, 440 nt
Filed under: uncultured bacterium
Lineage: Bacteria
Description: partial 16S ribosomal RNA
Rfam family: Bacterial small subunit ribosomal RNA
Source: RNAcentral